CUGUUGCGGUGAGAAGUCCCCUGGGAAAUUGCAUCCAUACUGACCUAAGUUUUCCAGAUGACUCGGUUCAUUUCUGCUCUAAAUCUUUCAAAAGCUAUUUCUUCAGUAAGCUGAUGAAAUCUUGUUCUGGAAGUAUCCUGGAUUCACACAUCUAGAACAUAAUCCAGACUCAUAUAUUCCCAUUAAUAGUGAUACUCUUUAUCUGACGUUCUCCCUACUGCUUUCUCGUGGCUUCAGUUUGACAUCUGAGAGCAAAACACACAGGAAGCUUUUAGUCUCCGUAUUUUUAUGGAAUUGAAAGGCAUUGAAAAUUCUGUGGGAUGGAGAGACAUGAUGAAUUGUUGAAAUACUACCUAAUAUUUAUCCUGCACCGAUUCAAAAUAAGCCAUCCAAGCUUAAAGGAAAAGACUGCUCAUCACUGGAAGCUAAGAACCUUGACGUAUCAGUCCUGAUUUACUGCACCUUACAAAACUUAGAGGGAAGGUUGGAGACAUUCUUUUCCCACUGGGGAGUGCUGAAUGGAAUUGCUGUGGAGUACUGCUUCGUCAGUACUCAGGAGAGUGAGUGUUCACUACCACUGGCUGAGAGAUGCUGCUUCUGCUUGAGAGUUUUUUUUACAGAUAGUGAAAUAUGUGGGAAAGCAACAUAUUGAGCAAAAUGAAUAAAGAAAAAUGGAUGAUUGCAUUAAAUGGUGAUCAGCUUCCAUCACCAUAUCUGUGUACUGCCGCCUUCUCACCUUCUUUCUCACCUACAGAUGAAAAAAUCAAGCUGAGAAAAAAACCCCAGAAAAAACAAAACCCCAACCUAACACUUCUGGGGAAGUGUUUCAGUGCUUAUUUUACCCCAAACUGUGGUUGAUAGUUAAAAUAUCCCUUCUCCCUCUCCCUACGGGAACUGAAAUUCUGAGAACUCCUUGCUCACAAUGAAUGAAACAGUAAUGAAUCAUAUUGGAAUAAAUUUUUCUUUUGAAUUGG
Molecule: long non-coding RNA, 974 nt
Organism: Passer domesticus (house sparrow)
Lineage: Eukaryota; Metazoa; Chordata; Aves; Passeriformes; Passeridae
Exons: 5
Source: RefSeq, a predicted model, not a curated record